CUCUCGAUAGCUCAGCUGGAAGAGCGCAAGACUGUAAAUCUUGAGGCCCGCGGUUCGAUCCCGCGUCGGGAGA
RNAcentral lists this transfer RNA (73 nucleotides) under Mycosphaerella sp. Ston1. RNAcentral's name for it is "tRNA-Tyr (GTA) (tRNA-Tyr-GTA-1-1)". It matches the Rfam family "tRNA". From Rfam's summary of the family: Transfer RNA (tRNA) molecules are approximately 80 nucleotides in length. Their secondary structure includes four short double-helical elements and three loops (D, anti-codon, and T loops). Lineage: Eukaryota; Fungi; Ascomycota; Dothideomycetes; Mycosphaerellales; Mycosphaerellaceae. RNAcentral also lists the same sequence under 2 other names. The record is from RNAcentral.